RNAcentral lists this ribosomal RNA (464 nucleotides) under Plesionika rufomaculata. Its description in RNAcentral is "12S ribosomal RNA". Lineage: Eukaryota; Metazoa; Arthropoda; Malacostraca; Decapoda; Pandalidae. The record is from RNAcentral.
AGGUGAAAUUUGGUUCCUGAAAGUGUCUGGUAUUAUUUAUAAGAGUGUUAUAUCUACGGAGGUUAAAGUAUAAAUCAGGAUUAGAUACCCUGUUAUUUUUAACUUUAAAUUAAUAGCUUGAAUAGUAAACAGUUAUGAUCUCGAAACUUAAAGAAUUUGGCGGUACUUUAGUCUAGUUAGAGGAACCUGUUCAGUAAACGAUACUCCACGAAUAAUCUUACUUUCUCUAGUUAUUGUGCAGUUUGUAUACCUCCAUUUGUCUAAGUAAUUUCAAAAGAAUAUACUGAAAUAAUUGAAUCUUUAGUUAAUAAUUUAGGUCAAGGUGCAGCUUAUGAGAAAGAAUGAAAUGGGUUACAGUAAAAUGAGUUUAUGUACGGAUAAUAAGGUUAAAUACUUUUUUGAAGGUGGAUUUAAUAGUAAUUUUAUUUUAAUAUGAUAAUUUGAAAUUAGCUCUAAGGUGUGUA